RNAcentral lists this ribosomal RNA (482 nucleotides) under uncultured bacterium. RNAcentral's name for it is "partial 16S ribosomal RNA". It matches the Rfam family "Bacterial small subunit ribosomal RNA", at positions 30 to 507 of the family's 1533-position model. The record is from RNAcentral.
AUUGAACGCUGGCGGCAUGCCUUACACAUGCAAGUCGAACGGUAACGGGCCUUCGGGCGCCGACGAGUGGCGAACAGGUGAGUAAUACAUCGGAACGUGCCCGAUCGUGGGGGAUAACGAGGCGAAAGCUUUGCUAAUACCGCAUACGAUCUACGGAUGAAAGCAGGGGACCGCAAGGCCUUGCGCGGACGGAGCGGCCGAUGGCAGAUUAGGUAGUUGGUGGGAUAAAAGCUUACCAAGCCGACGAUCUGUAGCUGGUCUGAGAGGAUGAUCAGCCACACUGGGACUGAGACACGGCCCAGACUCCUACGGGAGGCAGCAGUGGGGAAUUUUGGACAAUGGGCGCAAGCCUGAUCCAGCCAUGCCGCGUGCAGGAUGAAGGCCUUCGGGUUGUAAACUGCUUUUGUACGGAACGAAAAGCCUUCUUUUAAUACAGGAGGGUCAUGACGGUACCGUAAGAAUAAGCACCGGCUAACUACGUG